GAUGAAGAACGCAGCGAAAUGCGAUACGUAAUGAGAAUUGCAGAAUUCAGUGAAUCAUCGAAUCUUUGAACGCAUAUUGCGCUCUCUGGUAUUCCGGAGAGCAUGCUUGUUUGAGUAUCAGUAAACACCUCAACUUCCAUAUCUUUUUUGAAAUGGGAGUUGGACUUGAGUGAUCCCAACGCUUUUCCUCACCGAAAAGUGGCGGGUUACUUGAAAUGCAGGUGCAGCUGGACUUUUCUCUGAGCUAUAAGCAUAUCUAUUUAGUCUGCCUAAAAAACAGAUUAUUACCUUUGCUGCAGCUAACAUAAAGGAGAUUAGUUCUUGUGCUGACUGAUGCAGGAUUCACAAAGACAGGCUUCGGCCGACUUUGUAAACUCGAUCUCAAAUCAAGUAAGACUACCCGCUGAACUUAAGCAUAUCAAUAAGCGGAGGA
This 433-nucleotide unclassified non-coding RNA is filed under the name soil metagenome. RNAcentral's name for it is "partial contains 5.8S ribosomal RNA, internal transcribed spacer 2, and large subunit ribosomal RNA". The stretch from base 1 to 120 matches the Rfam family "5.8S ribosomal RNA", at positions 35 to 154 of the family's 154-position model. The record is from RNAcentral.